Molecule: ribosomal RNA, 450 nt
Filed under: uncultured bacterium
Lineage: Bacteria
Description: bacterial SSU rRNA
Rfam family: Bacterial small subunit ribosomal RNA
Source: RNAcentral
UCAAGAAACUUCCACAAUGGGCGAAAGCCUGAUGGAGCGACGUCGCGUGAUGGACGAAGUGCUUCGGCACGUAAACAUCUUUUAUGUGGGAUGAAAUUAUUGACAGUACCACAUGAAUAAGGGGCUCCUAACUCUGUGCCAGCAGGAGCGGUAAUACAGAGGCCCCAAGCGUUAUCCGGAAUCACUGGGCGUAAAGGGUGUCGAGGCGGUUGUAUUAGUCGUUCGUAAAAUCUACGAGCUUAACUUGUAGGCGGCGAACGAAACGGUACGACUUGAGGUUUGGAGAGGUGCGUGGAACUCACGGUGUAGGGGUGAAAUCCGUUGAUAUCGUGGGGAACACCAAAGGCGAAGGCAGUGCACUGGCCAAAAUCUGACGCUCACACACGAAAGCUAGGGUAGCGAAGAGGAUUAGAUACCCCAGUAGUCCCUGAGCGGGCUGGCAAGGCGCAU